Molecule: ribosomal RNA, 896 nt
Filed under: uncultured Mycobacterium sp.
Lineage: Bacteria; Bacillati; Actinomycetota; Actinomycetes; Mycobacteriales; Mycobacteriaceae
Description: bacterial SSU rRNA
Rfam family: Bacterial small subunit ribosomal RNA
Source: RNAcentral
GGGCAAUCUGCCCUGCACUUCGGGAUAARCCUGGGAAACUGGGUCUAAUACCSGAUAGGACCUCAAGACGCAUGUCUUCUGGUGGAAAGCUUUUGCGGUGUGGGAUGGGCCCGCGGCCUAUCAGCUUGUUGGUGGGGUGACGGCCUACCAAGGCGACGACGGGUAGCSGGCCUGAGAGGGUGUCCGGCCACACUGGKACUGAGAUACGRYCCARAYUYCUACGGGAGGCAGCAGUGGGGAAUAUUGCACAAUGGGCGCAAGCCUGAUGCAGCGACGCCGCGUGGGGGAUGACGGCCUUCGGGUUGUAAACCUCUUUCACCAUCGACGAAGGUCCGGGUUUUCUCGGAUUGACGGUAGGUGGAGAAGAAGCACCGGCCAACUACGUGCCAGCAGCCGCGGUAAUACGUAGGGUGCGAGCGUUGUCCGGAAUUACUGGGCGUAAAGAGCUCGUAGGUGGUUUGUCGCGUUGUUCGUGAAAUCUCACGGCUUAACUGUGAGCGUGCGGGCGAUACGGGCAGACUAGAGUACUGCAGGGGAGACUGGAAUUCCUGGUGUAGCGGUGGAAUGCGCAGAUAUCAGGAGGAACACCGGUGGCGAAGGCGGGUCUCUGGGCAGUAACUGACGCUGAGGAGCGAAAGCGUGGGGAGCGAACAGGAUUAGAUACCCUGGUAGUCCACGCCGUAAACGGUGGGUACUAGGUGUGGGUUUCCUUCCUUGGGAUCCGUGCCGUAGCUAACGCAUUAAGUACCCCGCCUGGGGAGUACGGCCGCAAGGCUAAAACUCAAAGGAAUUGACGGGGGCCCGCACAAGCGGCGGAGCAUGUGGAUUAAUUCGAUGCAACGCGAAGAACCUUACCUGGGUUUGACAUGCACAGGACGCGUCUAGAGAUAGCGUCU